UGCCUAUACAUGCAGUCGAGCGGACAGAUGGGAGCUUGCUCCCUGAUGUUAGCGGCGGACGGGUGAGUAACACGUGGGUAACCUGCCUGUAAGACUGGGAUAACUCCGGGAAACCGGGGCUAAUACCGGAUGGUUGUUUGAACCGCAUGGUUCAAACAUAAAAGGUGGCUUCGGCUACCACUUACAGAUGGACCCGCGGCGCAUUAGCUAGUUGGUGAGGUAACGGCUCACCAAGGCAACGAUGCGUAGCCGACCUGAGAGGGUGAUCGGCCACACUGGGACUGAGACACGGCCCAGACUCCUACGGGAGGCAGCAGUAGGGAAUCUUCCGCAAUGGACGAAAGUCUGACGGAGCAACGCCGCGUGAGUGAUGAAGGUUUUCGGAUCGUAAAGCUCUGUUGUUAGGGAAGAACAAGUACCGUUCGAAUAGGGCGGUACCUUGACGGUACCUAACCAGAAAGCCACGGCUAACUACGUGCCAGCAGCCGCGGUAAUACGUAGGUGGCAAGCGUUGUCCGGAAUUAUUGGGCGUAAAGGGCUCGCAGGCGGUUUCUUAAAUCUGAUGUGAAAGCCCCCGGCUCAACCGGGGAGGGUCAUUGUAAACUGGGGAACUUGAGUGCCUAACAGGAGAGUGGAAUUCCACAAACAUCGGUGAAAUAGCGUAUACAAGUGGAGGAACACCACUGUCGUAAAGGUACACUCUGCUCUAUGACUGA
Molecule: ribosomal RNA, 716 nt
Filed under: Bacillus licheniformis
Lineage: Bacteria; Bacillati; Bacillota; Bacilli; Caryophanales; Bacillaceae
Description: bacterial SSU rRNA
Rfam family: Bacterial small subunit ribosomal RNA
Source: RNAcentral